This 138-nucleotide small RNA is filed under the name Klebsiella quasipneumoniae. RNAcentral's name for it is "RtT sRNA". It matches the Rfam family "RtT RNA". From Rfam's summary of the family: This family represents a bacterial cis-regulatory element known as RtT RNA. The record is from RNAcentral. RNAcentral also lists the same sequence under 7 other names. Lineage: Bacteria; Pseudomonadati; Pseudomonadota; Gammaproteobacteria; Enterobacterales; Enterobacteriaceae.
UAUAUUCUCCGCUGGGGGGGGAUGAGAACCCCCGACCGGGGUUCGACAACUGGCAACGCCAGUUGGACAGACCGCGAGCCUACGAGCGGGCUGCCCCGCAGGGGCGAGCGAAGCGAGUCAAUCCCCCCCUCACCGCCA